UACCAGCACCCCCGAGUGGUCGGGACGAUUAUUGGGCCUAAAGCAUCCGUAGCCGGUACUGCAAGUCUUCCGUUAAAUCCACCUGCUUAACAGUUGGGCUGCGGGGGAUACUACAGCGCUAGGAGGCGGGAGAGGCAAGCGGUACUCAAUGGGUAGGGGUAAAAUCCGCUGAUCCAUUGAAGACCACCAGUGGCGAAGGCGGCUUGCCAGAACGCGCUCGACGGUGAGGGAUGAAAGCUGGGGGGA
This 246-nucleotide ribosomal RNA is filed under the name uncultured bacterium. RNAcentral's name for it is "partial 16S ribosomal RNA". It matches the Rfam family "Archaeal small subunit ribosomal RNA", at positions 474 to 719 of the family's 1478-position model. The record is from RNAcentral.